RNAcentral lists this ribosomal RNA (463 nucleotides) under uncultured bacterium. Its description in RNAcentral is "partial 16S ribosomal RNA". It matches the Rfam family "Bacterial small subunit ribosomal RNA", at positions 28 to 507 of the family's 1533-position model. The record is from RNAcentral.
GAUGAACGCUGACAGAAUGCUUAACACAUGCAAGUCUUUGGCGAAGCUGUGCUUGCACAGCCUAGCCAAGGCGGACGGGUGAGUAACGCGUAAGGAACUUGCCCUGCAGUCAGGGAUAACAGACGGAAACGACUGAUAAGACCUGGUAAAGUCAGGCGGACUCAUGUCCAGCCUGAUGAAGAGAGAUGCUGCAGGAGAGCCUUGCGUCCUAUUAGCUUGUUGGUGGGGUAACGGCCCACCAAGGCGAUGAUAGGUAGCCGGCCUGAGAGGGUGGACGGCCACAAGGGGACUGAGAUACGGCCCUUACUCCUACGGGAGGCAGCAGUGGGGAAUAUUGGACAAUGGGGGCAACCCUGAUCCAGCAAUUCUGUGUGCACGAUGAAGGUUUUCGGAUUGUAAAGUGCUUUCAGCAGGGAAGAAAAAAAUGACGGUACCUGCAGAAGAAGCGACGGCUAAAUACGUG